GUUCACUCCACACUUCACACUUUCACAAUCCACAACGCUCAGGUGCUAGGGCCUACAACCCAGUAACCCACACUCUCUCUCACUCAAACUCUUUUCCCUGAGGCGUAGCGCCGCAACCCCAACGGUCAGUGGAGAGCUCCUCCUUCACACUUCCAUGCUAUUUCUGCUUCUUAAUCUUACCUCACUCUCUCCUUCUCACCACCAAUCGUCUUUAAUUUUUCGCUGUCCCUUUUUCACCUUCUUCCUCUUUCUGCACCACGUUAGAUCAACCACCACAGCAACUCACCAUCAACCACCGCGCGUGCCAGCAACUCACCGUCAACCUCCUCUCAGAGACUCAGAGUUCUCACCGACGCAGUGUUCAUUGCAAGACAUAGAGCAGAUAAACACAAAUGGAAGGAGGAGAUCCUAGUUUUAUUGCAGUCCAAAGUAAUGAAGACAACAAAGCUAUGGACAUAGAGCAUGAGGUUGCUACUGCUCCUAUCCCAACUCCUGUUGCACCUCCCAUCUCAGAAAAUAUUAAUGAGGAAAAGAAGGUUGAAAAUAACGAGGGACAGCAGGCUACUCGCAAGGGGAAAAAGUCUUAUGUUUGGACGCAUUUUAAACAGCUUCCAUUUAGUGAGACUAAUGGAGAGCACAAGGCCAAAUGUAAUCACUGUCGAAAAGUAUAUCUAUGUCACCCAACUAGACAUGGCACAAAUUCUAUGAAUAAACACUUGAAAGUUUCUCACAAGUGGAUAUUUACAAAAGUAGGAAAAAAUGGGACACUUCAUGGCUAUAUGCCUAAGGUUGGUGAAGAAGGUGAAGCCGGCAAAACUUGCACCAAAGUCAAUGGCUAUAGCUUGGAAGAUUGUAGAAAGGCAAUGGCUGAGUUUAUUAUCCUUGAUGAACACCCUUUUAAAGUGGUCAAAGGGAUUGGAUUUCGCAAAAUGAUUAAUCGAUUUGAGCCAAGAUUCACUGUAUCAUCUAGGAUGACAAUGUCAAGAGAUUGCUUUCAGCUUUAUUUAGAUGAGAAAAAAAACUUAAAGCUUGGUUGGCAAAGUCAUGUGCUAGAGUUUGUUUGACAUCAGAUUGUUGGACAUCAAAUCAAAAUUUUAGCUACAUGAGCCUAACUACACAUUUCGUUGAUGACGAAUGGAAGCUACAAAAGAGAAUUCUCAACUUUUGCUUGAUUGAGAACCACAAGGGCGAAACAAUAGGAAGGGAAAUCGAGACAUGUUUGAGGGAGUGGGGAAUUGAAAAAGUCUUCACAAUCACAUUAGACAAUGCAUCUUCAAAUGACGGGGCUAUCACUUACCUUUAAAGGAAAUUAGCUGCAAGGGGUGGAUUGGUGUGCGGAGGAAAAUAUUUGCAAAUGAGGUGUUGUGCUCAUGUUCUCAACUUGAUAGUGAAUGAUGGGAUUAAAGAGCAACAUGCCUCCAUUGAAAGCAUUCGGAAUGCUGUUAGGUAUAUUAGAUCUUCUCCCCAAAGAAUUAAAAAAUUUAAAGAAUGCAUUGAGGCUGAGUUGAUAGAGUCUAAAAGUCUUGUUUGUUUAGAUGUUCCAACUAGAUGGAAUUCCACCUAUCUAAUGUUGGAACAUGCUGAAAAUUUUGAAAAAGCUUUUGAUAGACUUUAUGAUCAAGAAACUGAUUUCUUUAGAUGGUUUGGAGAGGAUUGUGGGGGUAAAAAGAAAGUUGGUCCACCCACGGCACUUGAUUGGCAACAUGCUAGGCUAUUGAUUUAUUUUUUGAGAAUUUUCUAUGAGAUUACUUUGUGUUUCUCAUGUUCUUUACAUGUUACUUCAAACAAAUGCUUUCAUGAAAUUACAUCUAUACAUUCUCAACUAACAUCUUGGAGCCAUAACAAUUCUGAAUUAUUGGGAACUAUGGCAUGCUCUAUGAAGGCUAAAUACGAUAAAUAUUGGGGACCAGUUGACAAGUUUAAUCCUUUGAUACUUGUUGCCAUUGUUUUAGAUCCUCGAUACAAACUUGAUUAUCUUUCAUGGUGUUUGGAGGAUAUAUAUGAUAAGGAAGUGGCUACUAGUAUGACUAGUUUUGUGAAAUUUACAUUGGAGACAUUGUAUAAAUUUUAUUCAAAAGAAAUUGUAGAUGAUAAAGUUCUUAAUGAUGUUGGCGGUCCCUCUAGAGAUAUUUUGGAUGAUAAAGAUACUAGUCAGUCUAGUGCUAAGGGUGUUGCUGCAAAUAGAGUGAAUUUGUGAAAAAAACAAAAGAAGGAAAAAGCUAAUGCAGACAGCAAAUCAGAUGUUGAGAAAUAUUUGGCCGAAGAUCCUGUAGACGUGGAAGAUGAGAAUUUUGAUAUAUUGGCUUGGUGGAAAUUAAAUGGAUCAAAAUAUAGAAUUCUUUCUCUCAUAGCUCGUGAUGUCUUUGGUAUUCCAGUUUCAACUGUCGCAUCUGAGUCAUGCUUUAGUACCGGUGGUCGUGUGGUUGAUCUUUACCGUAGCUCUUUGUCACCAAAAAUGGCAGAAGCUUUAAUCUGCACUCAAAGUUGGUUGUAUCCAUCUAAGUAGAUAUUUAAAGAGCUUGAGUUUGAUCAAUUUGACAGUAGUGACAAGAUUGUUAAUGAUGUUACUAAAACAUCCACACAACAAGAAUCAAGUUCACAACCUUGAGAGCAAGCUAUGAAUCAAAUGAAUUUUGUUAUGUAGUUGUUUGCUACUUAAUAUUUUGUUGUUAUUAGUUAGUAUGACACUAUAAAUUAUUAUCAUUAUGUUAAUCUUGUGUUGGUUGUUAACUUUGUUUUAAUUGUCUUUUGAACUUUGAAUGUUUAGUGUGUAAUUGACAUAAUUAUUAUUAU
This is a non-coding RNA of Arachis ipaensis, 2793 nucleotides long. NCBI's taxonomy places the organism in Eukaryota, Viridiplantae, Streptophyta, Magnoliopsida, Fabales, Fabaceae. The record is from RefSeq and is a predicted model, not a curated record.